GAUAAUGAAGUAAAACCUUACAAUUAGUUUCGACCUAAUAUUAGGAUUAAAUAUAUAUCCCUUAUCU
RNAcentral lists this transfer RNA (67 nucleotides) under Neojurtina typica. RNAcentral describes it as "tRNA-Arg". Lineage: Eukaryota; Metazoa; Arthropoda; Insecta; Hemiptera; Pentatomidae. The record is from RNAcentral.